Molecule: unclassified non-coding RNA, 254 nt
Filed under: uncultured Parcubacteria group bacterium
Lineage: Bacteria
Description: contains 16S-23S intergenic spacer region
Rfam family: Bacterial small subunit ribosomal RNA
Source: RNAcentral
AACAGAACCCCCAAGCGUUACCCGGAUUUAUUGGGCGUAAAGCGUCUGUAGCCGGUAUGGCAAGUCUGCAGUUAAAUGCCAAGAGCUCAACUUUUGGAAUGCUGCAGAAACUGCCAAACUAGAGGGCGUUAGGGGCUGAUGGAACGCACGGUGGAGGGGUGAAAUCCGUUGAUAUCGUGCGGAACACCAAAAGCGAAGGCAUUCAGCUGGGGCGACCCUGACGGUGAGAGACGAAAGCGUGGGGAGCGAAAAGG